Molecule: ribosomal RNA, 568 nt
Filed under: Pycnotheca mirabilis
Lineage: Eukaryota; Metazoa; Cnidaria; Hydrozoa; Leptothecata; Sertulariidae
Description: partial 16S ribosomal RNA
Rfam family: Bacterial large subunit ribosomal RNA
Source: RNAcentral
AGCCCUAAUAAUUAUUUAAGGGGUAACCUGCCCCGUGAUUUAAAAUUUGAAAUUAAAAAAAAAAUGAAAAAUUAAACGGCCGCAGUAUAUUGACUGUGAUAAUGUAGCCCAAUAAGGAGCCGCUUAAUUAGCGGAUGGUAUGAAUGGUUAGACGAGAAUUUCNCUGUNUUAAAAAGAAAUCUAACAAAAUUAAAAUAAUAGUUAAGAUGCUAUUUAAAAUUGUAAGACGAGAAGACCCUAUAAAGCUUAACUAUUAGUUCUAUAUAAUAAUAAUAUAAUAUAAUAGAAAGAGGUAGUUUAGUUUGGGCCCCGAUGUUUUAAAAAAAAAAAACAUAAAUAAUUUACUGUAUAAAAAAUUAAUUUAACAGUUAUAAAAUAGAUGAAUGACCUGUUAUUACAAAAAAAUAUGAAUAACAAUUAAUAAAUAAAAGCUACUUUAGGGAUAACAGGAUAAUCUUAUCAAAGAGAAGAUAUCAAAGAUAAGGUUUGUCACCUCGAUGUUGAAUUAAAGUAUCCUUUUGGCGCAGAAGUCAAAAAAGGGGGGUCUGUUCAACCUUUAAAUACUUUA